RNAcentral lists this ribosomal RNA (375 nucleotides) under uncultured organism. Its description in RNAcentral is "partial 16S ribosomal RNA". It matches the Rfam family "Bacterial small subunit ribosomal RNA", at positions 527 to 896 of the family's 1533-position model. The record is from RNAcentral.
GAACCGUCCAAACGUUUAUUCGGAAUCACUGGGCUUAAAGGGUGCGUAGGCGGCCUGGCAAGUUGGGUGUGAAAUCCCUCGGCUCAACCGAGGAACUGCGCUCAAAACUGCCUGGCUAGAGGGAGAUAGAGGUGAGCGGAACUUAAGGUGGAGCGGUGAAAUGCGUUGAUAUCUUAAGGAACACCGGUGGCGAAGGCGGCUCACUGGAUCUCUUCUGACGCUGAGGCACGAAAGCCAGGGUAGCGAACGGGGAUUAGAUACCCCGGUAGUCCUGGCUGUAAACGAUGAGCACUUGGUUGGAGGCUCCCUCCAUAGGCUUCCCGGCCGAAGCGAAAGUGUUAAGUGCUCCGCCUGGGGAGUAUGGUCGCAAGGCUG